Molecule: ribosomal RNA, 229 nt
Filed under: uncultured Gardnerella sp.
Lineage: Bacteria; Bacillati; Actinomycetota; Actinomycetes; Bifidobacteriales; Bifidobacteriaceae
Description: partial 16S ribosomal RNA
Rfam family: Bacterial small subunit ribosomal RNA
Source: RNAcentral
AGUCCCCCAUGCUCCAGAAUAGCUCUUGGAAACGGGUGGUAAUGCUGGAUGCUCCAACUUGACGCAUGUCUUGUUGGGAAAGUGUUUAGUGGCAUGGGAUGGGGUCGCGUCCUAUCAGCUUGUAGGCGGGGUAAUGGCCCACCUAGGCUUCGACGGGUAGCCGGCCUGAGAGGGCGGACGGCCACAUUGGGACUGAGAUACGGCCCAGACUCCUAGGGAGGCAGCAGCA